UUUAAACAAAUUGACUCAUUCGUGUCCUCGUUUCCGGCCGGGACGAGAACAAGGAUUGAGGCCUCCCUCGAGAGCUUCCGAAACCCUAACAAACUUCAUCACAGAGGAGAUCAAAAACCCAGAGAGAACCAUGUGGUGGCGGGCGUGGUUUGGCUCGGCUGCAGGGGGGACGGAGAAAGGAACCACUGUUCAGGGAACGGUGCCGGGGGAGGCAAUUGGCCUGUUGAAAUUAAUCAGUGUUUGUAUUCUGCCUGUUAAGUAGGAGAGAUCCGGCGACAGCAGUUAAACAAGAUACGUGUGUAAAAUGUAUUCUAUAAAAUACUAAUAUACCGGUGUGGCGGCCCAAGGGCCACUGCCAGGGUAUUUGUGGCUGUGUCCCUGUCUGUGGGUGUUACAGGGUGAACUUCCUGGUGGAGUGGAGCUGAGGCCAUCAGGCAGAUCAGACCCAGCUGGCCACUGUCUCUUGAGUGCAUUAAAACCUGCCCCUUCCUGAGUGUUUGAGGGUGACUGCUGGUUUUCUCCUGUUCCCCAGCACAAUGGCGUGUUUCCUUUGCUGUGUUUUGUUUGUUUAACCAGUUACUUUGGUGAAUAAAGAUCUUUGGCUGGUAA
Molecule: long non-coding RNA, 609 nt
Organism: Gasterosteus aculeatus aculeatus (three-spined stickleback)
Lineage: Eukaryota; Metazoa; Chordata; Actinopteri; Perciformes; Gasterosteidae
Source: RefSeq, a predicted model, not a curated record